RNAcentral lists this transfer RNA (59 nucleotides) under Monodelphis domestica (gray short-tailed opossum). It matches the Rfam family "tRNA". Rfam says of the family: Transfer RNA (tRNA) molecules are approximately 80 nucleotides in length. Their secondary structure includes four short double-helical elements and three loops (D, anti-codon, and T loops). Lineage: Eukaryota; Metazoa; Chordata; Mammalia; Didelphimorphia; Didelphidae. The record is from Rfam by way of RNAcentral.
AGCAGAGAUGACAUUGGAUUUGGAAUCCAAAGAUCUGGAUUCAAAUCCUUGUUCUGCUA